UACAGAGGGGUCAGGCGUUGUUCGGAAUUACUGGGCGUAAAGGGCGCGUAGGCGGCCUGUUAAGUCGAACGUGAAAUCCCCGGGCUCAACCCGGGAACUGCGUCCGAUACUGGCAGGCUUGAAUUCGGGAGAGGGAUGCGGAAUUCCUGGUGUAGCGGUGGAAUGCGCAGAUAUCAGGAGGAACACCAAUAGCGAAGGCAGCUCGCUGGGACGGUACUGACGCUAAGGCGCGAAAGCGUGGGGAGCGAACAGG
This 253-nucleotide ribosomal RNA is filed under the name uncultured bacterium. RNAcentral's name for it is "partial 16S ribosomal RNA". It matches the Rfam family "Bacterial small subunit ribosomal RNA", at positions 524 to 776 of the family's 1533-position model. The record is from RNAcentral.